UUUAUUACAGUAGGUUAACUGGCUAACCUCUUUUUUUCUUUUCAGAUAACAAGAAUCGAGUAUGUUCAUUCUAAAGGGAUAUGAAGAAGAUCAGGAGGAUAAUGAAGAAGAGGAAGGAGGACUGAGUCAAUCUGGAAAAGAGUUGAGGAAGCUGCUCGGGAAAAAUAGUGGGGUCAAUGAAUCCGAGCCAGAGCAAGAGGACGAUGACGACGAUGAUAUUGAUGACGAAAGUUCCCUGUUCUUGCACCAAAGGCUAAUAAUAACGGGGUCCAUCAAAGCUUAAUAACAACCCUCUUAAAGAGGAACCCGUCGAUAAUAGCCCCUCAAAGCCAGCAGCUGCUACAACAUCAGCUCGGGGAACCCCAUCUUCAAAUAAGUCGGCUAA
Helianthus annuus (common sunflower) is the source of this 385-nucleotide long non-coding RNA. RefSeq lists it as uncharacterized. NCBI's taxonomy places the organism in Eukaryota, Viridiplantae, Streptophyta, Magnoliopsida, Asterales, Asteraceae. The transcript has 2 exons. The record is from RefSeq and is a predicted model, not a curated record.